This 232-nucleotide long non-coding RNA is filed under the name Sorghum bicolor (sorghum). RNAcentral describes it as "long non-coding RNA (SBIC_LNC018053)". Lineage: Eukaryota; Viridiplantae; Streptophyta; Magnoliopsida; Poales; Poaceae. The record is from RNAcentral.
GUGGAAUAGACUAAAAUACUCUGAGGUUUUCUUGAGUUGCUACCGAACUAAAUAAAGCAUUUACAUAUUUAUAUUGGCAUUUCUGUUAUAAUUUUUGUUUUAUUUUUUCUAUGGGGAAACAGCCGAAGUACGUAUACUUCUAUCCUAUUGUAUUUCUUGUUCUAUUUUUCUAGAAAAAAUGGCCAAAAUAUUAUUUAUAGUAUUCCUAUUGUAUUUCUUGUUUUAUUUUUCU